GCGGUUGGCGCUAGAAGGAGUAGGCGUAGGGGUACCGGGGGUAGGGAAUGGGAGCGGUUGGCGCCAGGAGGAGUAGGCGUAGGGGUACCAGGGGUAGGGAAGAAGGGUAAAAGGGUCUUUGUUCAAUAGUAUUUAUGGACUUUAAUCCACUUUAGUCUAUGGAACCAAACAGGGGUGGGACUAAAGUUUAGUCCAUGGACUAAAGGAACCAUACGCCACCUAUAUACUUAGAGGAAGCAUUGCAGUUGUUAAAGAGAAUUGAACUAGAUUAAGCAAAGUUAACCAAGCUCAGCUGACACCGAAAAUAGCACAUACCCUCAGCUUUGCUGCAUUAGUUGUGGAUUAUUAUGCCAGAUUUAAGCUGUGACUUAGUACAUGAGAUUGAACAGAUGGAUGGCAGGACGAAGGAGAACAAUGAUGAAGAAACUAACAGCUAGCGUGUUUAAUUUGUUUGGGACUCCAAAGUAGGUAAAAAGGGAUCUCAAGUGCAACUGGCUUCCUCACUUCCUCCUUGUUGAGUCAAUAAUAAUAAAUAAAAUUGUUUUUCAACCUUGGUUAAUAUCAAUUCA
This 569-nucleotide long non-coding RNA is filed under the name Setaria viridis. Its description in RNAcentral is "long non-coding RNA (SVIR_LNC002740)". The record is from RNAcentral. Lineage: Eukaryota; Viridiplantae; Streptophyta; Magnoliopsida; Poales; Poaceae.